Molecule: ribosomal RNA, 273 nt
Filed under: uncultured bacterium
Lineage: Bacteria
Description: partial 16S ribosomal RNA
Rfam family: Bacterial small subunit ribosomal RNA
Source: RNAcentral
UACGGAGGGUGCAAGCGUUACUCGGAAUCACUGGGCGUAAAGCGCGCGCAGGCGGCUAUUUAAGUUGGAUGUGAAAGCCUACGGCUCAACCGUAGAACUGCAUCCAAAACUAUUUAGCUAGAGUGUGGGAGAGGAAGAUGGAAUUAGUUGUGUAGGGGUAAAAUCCGUAGAGAUAACUAGGAAUACCAAAAGCGAAGGCAAUCUUCUGGAACACUACUGACGCUGAGGCGCGAAAGCGUGGGGAGCAAACGGGAUUAGAUACCCGAGUAGUCC